This 205-nucleotide unclassified non-coding RNA is filed under the name Hevea brasiliensis (rubber tree). Lineage: Eukaryota; Viridiplantae; Streptophyta; Magnoliopsida; Malpighiales; Euphorbiaceae. The record is from RNAcentral.
GCUAGACCCACUUCCUCUUCGACUUUUCUCUGACCACGGCCUCUUGCUUGAGCCGUGUCCCCGCACGGACAGCACUACCUCAUCAAGGUUCUCUUUCUCUAACAUGCUAAAGUUAUCGUCCUUAUGCGUCCUGCUUGAAGGACACAUGGCAAAGAAAAUGAGAAUUACUAUCAAUGCUAACAUCAUCACCCCAAACAGUGAUGUG